UGCAGAGGUCCCAAGCGUUGUUCGGAUUCACUGGGCGUAAAGGGCGCGUAGGCGGGUGCUCAAGUCCGGGGUGAAAUCCUCCAGCUCAACUGGAGAACUGCCUCGGAUACUGGGUGUCUCGAGUGUGGUAGGGGUAUGCGGAACUAUCGGUGGAGCGGUGAAAUGCGUUGAUAUCGAUAGGAACUCCGGUGGCGAAGGCGGCAUACUGGACCACUACUGACGCUGAUGCGCGAAAGCCAGGGGAGCAAACGGG
RNAcentral lists this ribosomal RNA (253 nucleotides) under uncultured bacterium. Its description in RNAcentral is "partial 16S ribosomal RNA". It matches the Rfam family "Bacterial small subunit ribosomal RNA", at positions 524 to 776 of the family's 1533-position model. The record is from RNAcentral.